RNAcentral lists this ribosomal RNA (326 nucleotides) under uncultured eukaryote. RNAcentral describes it as "partial 18S ribosomal RNA". It matches the Rfam family "Eukaryotic small subunit ribosomal RNA", at positions 1470 to 1796 of the family's 1831-position model. The record is from RNAcentral.
CCCUUAGAUGUUCUGGGCCGCACGCGCGCUACACUGAUGCAUUCAACGAGCCUAUCCUUGACCGACAGGUCCGGGUAAUCUUUGAAUCUGCAUCGUGACGGGGAUAGAUUAUUGCAAUUAUUAAUCUUCAACGAGGAAUGCCUAGUAGGCGCAAGUCAUCAGCUUGCAUUGAUUACGUCCCUGCCCUUUGUACACACCGCCCGUCGCUCCUACCGAUUGAAUGAUCCGAUGAAUAUCAUGGAUUGAGGAUGCAAGUAGGUUAGCCUAUCUUCAUCUUCGAGAAGUGAAGUAAAUCUUAUCAUUUAGAGGAAGGAGAAGUCGUAACA